AUGAUGAGGAGCUUGCUCCUCUGAUUUAGCGGCGGACGGGUGAGUAACACGUGGGUAAUCUGCCUGUAAGACGGGGAUAACUCCGGGAAACCGGGGCUAAUACCGGAUAAUAAGAGAAGAAGCAUUUCUUCUUUUUGAAAGUCGGUUUCGGCUGACACUUACAGAUGAGCCCGCGGCGCAUUAGCUAGUUGGUGAGGUAACGGCUCACCAAGGCGACGAUGCGUAGCCGACCUGAGAGGGUGAUCGGCCACACUGGGACUGAGACACGGCCCAGACUCCUACGGGAGGCAGCAGUAGGGAAUCUUCGGCAAUGGGCGAAAGCCUGACCGAGCAACGCCGCGUGAGCGAUGAAGGCCUUCGGGUCGUAAAGCUCUGUUGUUAGAGAAGAACAAGUACGAGAGUAACUGCUCGUACCUUGACGGUACCUAACCAGAAAGCCACGGCUAACUACGUGCCAGCAGCCGCGGUAAUACGUAGGUGGCAAGCGUUAUCCGGAAUUAUUGGGCGUAAAGCGCGCGCAGGCGGUCUCUUAAGUCUGAUGUGAAAGCCCACGGCUCAACCGUGGAGGGUCAUUGGAAACUGGGAGACUUGAGUGCAGGAGAGAAAAGUGGAAUUCCACGUGUAGCGGUGAAAUGCGUAG
Molecule: ribosomal RNA, 640 nt
Filed under: Fictibacillus sp.
Lineage: Bacteria; Bacillati; Bacillota; Bacilli; Caryophanales; Fictibacillaceae
Description: bacterial SSU rRNA
Rfam family: Bacterial small subunit ribosomal RNA
Source: RNAcentral